RNAcentral lists this ribosomal RNA (218 nucleotides) under uncultured bacterium. Its description in RNAcentral is "partial 16S ribosomal RNA". It matches the Rfam family "Bacterial small subunit ribosomal RNA", at positions 524 to 741 of the family's 1533-position model. The record is from RNAcentral.
UACGUAGGGCGCAAGCGUUGUCCGGAAUUAUUGGGCGUAAAGAGCUCGUAGGCGGUUUGUCGCGUCUGCUGUGAAAACUCGAGGCUCAACCUCGGGCUUGCAGUGGGUACGGGCAGACUAGAGUGCGGUAGGGGAGACUGGAAUUCCUGGUGUAGCGGUGGAAUGCGCAGAUAUCAGGAGGAACACCCGUGGCUAAGGCGGCUCUCUAGUACGUGACU